UAGGAUGGGGAUGCGUCUGAUUAGGUAGUAGGCGGGGUAACGGCCCACCUAGCCGACGAUCAGUAGGGGUUCUGAGAGGAAGGUCCCCCACAUUGGAACUGAGACACGGUCCAAACUCCUACGGGAGGCAGCAGUGAGGAAUAUUGGUCAAUGGACGGAAGUCUGAACCAGCCAAGUAGCGUGCAGGAUGACGGCCCUAUGGGUUGUAAACUGCUUUUAUAUAGGGAUAAAGUCGGGGACGUGUCCCCGUUUGUAGGUACUAUAUGAAUAAGGACCGGCUAAUUCCGUGCCAGCAGCCGCGGUAAUACGGAAGGUCCAGGCGUUAUCCGGAUUUAUUGGGUUUAAAGGGAGCGCAGGCUGAUGAUUAAGCGUGACGUGAAAUGUAGCCGCUCAACGGCUGAACUGCGUCGCGAACUGGUUAUCUUGAGUGAGUUCGAUGUUGGCGGGAUUCGUGGUGUAGCGGGUGAAAUGCUUAGAUAUCACGAAGAACUCCGAUUGCGAAGGCAGCCAACAAGGCCUUUACUGACGCUAAAGCUCGAAGGUGCGGGUAUCGAACAGGAUUAGAUACCCUGGUAGUCCGCACGGUAAAACGAUGGA
This 597-nucleotide ribosomal RNA is filed under the name uncultured Prevotella sp. RNAcentral's name for it is "bacterial SSU rRNA". It matches the Rfam family "Bacterial small subunit ribosomal RNA", at positions 221 to 813 of the family's 1533-position model. Lineage: Bacteria; Pseudomonadati; Bacteroidota; Bacteroidia; Bacteroidales; Prevotellaceae. The record is from RNAcentral.